This 21-nucleotide non-coding RNA is filed under the name Capra hircus (goat). Its record names the gene chi-miR-496-3p. The record is from miRBase by way of RNAcentral. Lineage: Eukaryota; Metazoa; Chordata; Mammalia; Artiodactyla; Bovidae. RNAcentral also lists the same sequence under 2 other names.
UGAGUAUUACAUGGCCAAUCU